RNAcentral lists this ribosomal RNA (1467 nucleotides) under Triticum aestivum (bread wheat). Its description in RNAcentral is "partial small subunit ribosomal RNA". Lineage: Eukaryota; Viridiplantae; Streptophyta; Magnoliopsida; Poales; Poaceae. The record is from RNAcentral.
AUGGUCCGCCUUUCCCUGAGAUCCUCGCGGCCGCACGGAGACACAGCUCGCAGCCGCGGCGCACAGCGGAGCGGCGGUCCGCCUGCCUCCGCCGCGCCUAUGGAUUCGUCGUCGCAGCCGCAGCCACAGUCGCCUGCUGCCGGGGGCGACCCGUCGGAGGACGGCGCGGCCGCGGAGCUGCCCCGGCUCACCGUGACGCAGGUGGAGCAGAUGAAGGUGGAGGCGCGGGUAGCCGACAUCUACCGCGUCCUCUUCGACGCCGCGCCCAACGCCAAGUCCGUCAUGCUAGAGCUGUGGCGUGAUCAACAUGUCGAGUAUUUGAUGAAAGGGCUGAGGCAUCUCGCACCUAGCUUCCAUGUGCUCGAUGCCAAUCGGCCUUGGUUAUGCUAUUGGAUGGUUCAUGGGCUUGCGUUGCUGGAUGAAACGCUUGAUGAUGACCUCGAGAACGAUAUUGUGGACUUCUUGUCUCGAUGCCAGGACAAACAUGGUGGAUAUGGUGGUGGACCUGGGCAGUUACCUCAUCUCGCUACAUCGUACGCUGCUGUAAAUACACUUGUAACCAUAGGGAGUGAAAGAGCACUAUCAUCAAUAAAAAGGGACAAUCUGUACAAGUUUAUGCUUCUAAUGAAGGACAAAUCAGGUGCUUUCAGAAUGCAUGAUGGUGGUGAAAUUGAUGUCCGCGCUUGCUAUACUGCAAUAUCGGUUGCCAGCCUCGUGAACAUUCUUGAUGAUGAGCUGGCAAAAGGUGUUGGAAACUACAUAGCAAGUUGUCAAACUUAUGAAGGUGGGAUUGCGGGAGAACCUUCUGCUGAAGCUCAUGGUGGGUACACUUUUUGUGGGCUGGCUGCAAUGGUCCUGCUUAAUGAAGUGGAGAAACUCGAUUUGCCUAGCUUGAUUGGCUGGGUGGCAUUUCGUCAAGGAGUGGAAUGCGGAUUCCAAGGACGGACAAAUAAAUUGGUUGAUGGUUGCUACUCCUUUUGGCAGGGAGCUGCUAUUGCUUUAGCUCAAAAGCUAAUGGCAGGGUCUGAUGAACAAUCUAAACAAUCACAGCCCAGCAAAUUAUCCUCGGUAGAUGAUUCUUGUGGGACCAGCUCAUCUGGAUUGGCUUCAGAAAAAUCUUCUGUUGUGGAUUAUGCGAAGAUUGGAUUUGAUUUUAUGAAGCAGAGCAACCAAAUAGGUCCGCUGUUCCACAACAUUGCUCUGCAACAAUAUAUCCUGCUUUGUGCACAGGUGCCGGAGGGGGGAUUGAGGGAUAAACCUGGAAAGAACAGAGACCACUAUCACUCAUGCUACUGCCUGAGUGGCCUCUCAGUUAGCCAGUACAGCGCAAUGACAGGUUCCGUUUCAUGCCCCUUGCCGCAGCACAUGCUUGGCCCAUACUCGAACUUGCUAGAGCAAAUUCAUCCGCUCUACAACGUUGUGCUAGAGAAAUACGAGGAGGCCUACGAGUUCUUUUCGAGCGAGUGA